This 625-nucleotide ribosomal RNA is filed under the name uncultured bacterium. RNAcentral's name for it is "bacterial SSU rRNA". It matches the Rfam family "Bacterial small subunit ribosomal RNA", at positions 338 to 1430 of the family's 1533-position model. The record is from RNAcentral.
CCUACGGGAGGCAGCAGUGGGGAAUUUUGGACAAUGGACGCAAGUCUGAUCCAGCCAUGCCGCGUGCGGGAAGAAGGCCUUCGGGUUGUAAACCGCUUUUGUCAGGGAAGAAACGGGUUUCUCUAAUACAGAGACCUAAUGACGGUACCUGAAGAAUAAGCACCGGCUAACUACGUGCCAGCAGCCGCGGUAAUACGUAGGGUGCAAGCGUUAAUCGGAAUUACUGGGCGUAAAGCGUGCGCAGGCGGUUAUGCAAGACAGAGGUGAAAUCCCCGGGCUCAACCUGGGAACUGCCUUUGUGACUGCAUAGCUAGAGUACGGUAGAGGGGGAUGGAAUUCCGCGUGUAGCAGUGAAAUGCGUAGAUAUGCGGAGGAACACCGAUGGCGAAGGCAAUCCCCUGGACCUGUACUGACGCUCAUGCACGAAAGCGUGGGGAGCAAACAGGAUUAGAUACCCUGGUAGUCCACGCCCUAAACGAUGUCAACUGGUUGUUGGGAGGGUUUCUCUCAGUAACGAAGCUAACGCGUGAAGUUGACCGCCUGGGGAGUACGGCCGCAAGGUUGAAAACUCGAAAAGUAGUAAGUGGACGUCGAGGACGUGCGACGAGGACACGACGGAGGUUAG